MicroRNA precursor from Equus asinus (donkey), 59 nucleotides. Ensembl annotates it as microRNA 17. Lineage: Eukaryota; Metazoa; Chordata; Mammalia; Perissodactyla; Equidae. The record is from Ensembl.
CAAAGUGCUUACAGUGCAGGUAGUGAUAUAUGUGCAUCUACUGCAGUGAAGGCACUUGU